GACGAACGCUGGCGGCGUGCUUAACACAUGCAAGUCGAACGGAAAGGCCCUGCUUUUGUGGGUUGCUCGAGUGGCGAACGGGUGAGUAACACGUGAGUAACCUGCCCUUGACUUUGGGAUAACUUCAGGAAAAUGGGUCUAAUACCGGAUAGGAUCUCUUGCUGCAUGGUGGGGGUUGGAAAGAUUCGGCGGUUGGGGAUGGACUGGCGGCUUAUCAGCUUGUUGGUGGGGUAGUGGCUUACCAAGGCUUUGACGGGUAGCCGGCCUGAGAGGCGGACCGGCCACAUUAGUACUGCGAUACGGCCCAGUAUCCAACGGGAGGCAGCAGUGGGGAAUAUUGCACAAUGGGCGGAAGCCUGAUGCAGCAACGCCGCGUGCGGGAUGACGGCCUUCGGGUGGUAAACCGAUGUCGCCUGUGACGAAGCGUGAGUGACGGUAAUGGGUAAAGAAGCACCGGCUAACUACGUG
This 468-nucleotide ribosomal RNA is filed under the name uncultured bacterium. Its description in RNAcentral is "partial 16S ribosomal RNA". It matches the Rfam family "Bacterial small subunit ribosomal RNA", at positions 28 to 507 of the family's 1533-position model. The record is from RNAcentral.